Molecule: ribosomal RNA, 295 nt
Filed under: uncultured bacterium
Lineage: Bacteria
Description: partial 16S ribosomal RNA
Rfam family: Bacterial small subunit ribosomal RNA
Source: RNAcentral
GAGGCCUACGGGGCGCAGCAGUAGGGAAUUUUCGUCAAUGGGCGCAAGCCUGAACGAGCAAUGCCGCGUGAACGAGGAAGGUCUUCGGAUCGUAAAGUUCUGUUGAAGGGGAAAAAGAGCGGAGAGAGGAAAUGAACUCCGAUUGAUAUUACCCUUCGAGGAAGUCACGGCUAACUACGUGCCAGCAGCCGCGGUAAUACGUAGGUGGCGAGCGUUAUCCGGAAUGAUUGGGCGUAAAGGGUGCGUAGGCGGCCUGCUAAGUCUGGAGUGAAAGGUACCGGCUCGACCCGGAAAG